Molecule: RNA transcript, 864 nt
Organism: Manacus vitellinus (golden-collared manakin)
Lineage: Eukaryota; Metazoa; Chordata; Aves; Passeriformes; Pipridae
Exons: 3
Source: RefSeq, a predicted model, not a curated record
CACCUGAUCGAGAAGCUGCCUGGGAGCGUGGGGGACAAGGCACCGCCCGCCGAUGUCAUCGUGAACAUCAUCGCCGUGCUCAACAACCUGGUGGUGGAGAGCCCCAUGGCUGCCCGCGACAUCGUCUACUUCGACGGCCUCAGGAAGCUCUUCUUCAUCAAGAAGCGACGGGACAGCUCGGACAAUGAGAAGUCCUCCCGAGCCGCAGCCAGCCUCCUGGGAAACAUGUGGCAGUACACCAAGCUCCACCGGGACUUCAAGAUGAAGGGGUACCGGAAGGAGGACUUCCUCAGCCUGUGAGGACACCCUGGGAGCUGGAAUGCCCUGCUGGGAUGCUCCGUGCUGCCGGCCAUGCCCUGGGGAGGCUGCUCGCCAUCAGACCCCCCCUCUGUAGCCUAGUCCCCACCACAUCCCAUGCGCCUCCCCCUCUGCUGGGUCCCCUUCCCCUGCUGAGGGACACGUGUCCUCCCUCCUGCCCAGCCUUAAACCCAGAGGCUGCUUUUGGCUCUGCUGUGGGGCCCCACAGGGACCCCGUUAGUAGGGGUCUGCCUCACAGCACCCCCUGGGGACCCUCCCCACCCUCAGGCAGCUGGCUGCAAAACUUGGCUUGUCCCGCAUCUUGACAGAGGGGCAGGAACCACAGGGAUUUGGGAAGGCUCCUGUAGAGCAACGCUGGGUCAGGGGGGCUUUCAGGGCUGCUUCAUCCCAGCUCCCUGAGCUGGGUGGGUGUCGGUGCCCCGCACCAGUGUGGGAUGUGCUGUGGAAUACGUGUGCUAUGCCCCAGCUGGGUGGGGACGGGGCUUUGCAUGGCUUGAGGGGCUUAGAGGGCUCUGAGGUGGCUUCCCACAGUUAAUAGGGUGGCAC